This 672-nucleotide unclassified non-coding RNA is filed under the name Hevea brasiliensis (rubber tree). The record is from RNAcentral. Lineage: Eukaryota; Viridiplantae; Streptophyta; Magnoliopsida; Malpighiales; Euphorbiaceae.
GCGAAGGAUAUGUGAUCCCUGAUGGCCUGACUUGAAAUAUUAAUUGGUUUCGUUGAGCUGCUGUUGACCAUCUUCCCUUGCUCUUCUUGAGUGGGAGGGGACAGCUCAUCCCCAUACCAGAGACAGGUUCAUCCCUCCCCAUCUCGAUUUUGGGUUGUGAAUAGUUGGUUUAGUUUUUAUUUUAUAGUGCAAAACUAAUGCUGAUGAGAGAGGGAUUGUGAUAGGAUCUGCUUCUUAUGAAGUUCCAGUAUUAGUUUUCUGGAAUCUCCCCAUUCAGCUAGCAUCUCAAAGGUGCUUUCAAUACAGAUCGUUUGGCUGCUAGGUUCCGAUCUCUUUAACUAUAUGUGAGUAAGGAGCCUAAGUGAUGCUAGGCCUUUCCAAGCUUUGCCAGCGUUUACGUGGUCCUAUAUCACUAGCUCGACAUGUGCCUGCCUUUCUGACCUGUAGGUAUCCCUGAUUUGAUUUAGUGUUUGGGAUCUCUAUUUUUGGGAUGGCUUUUAGUCUACAUGUGCUUUAGUUUGGUUGAGUUUCCCUCUAUUACCGUCUCCUUAGGCUCGCUUUGUAUCAAUAUGCACUUAAGCAAUGGCGAUGGAGAAGGUCUUCCUUCUUUGCUUGUUGGGUUGAUAAAUUGAGUAUGUUAUCUGAUAAUUUUAGAAUUUUUUUUAAUUGAGA